Long non-coding RNA from Mustela putorius furo (domestic ferret), 2080 nucleotides. The record is from Ensembl. Lineage: Eukaryota; Metazoa; Chordata; Mammalia; Carnivora; Mustelidae.
AGUCCCACUGGAACCACACAGGAAAGGGGGUGUUUGCCCCAAAAGUGAAGGAGGAGCUGUUGCAGAAAGACAGGGGCAGGGGGAGGAGGAGAUGGUGUGCUUGACAGCUAACAUCUAUCCUGCUUCACCAUGAUUAAUACGGUAAAACUGUGCCAAGGGAUGAUAACAUCGGCUCAAGCAAACUGCUUGGAUCUUGGAACGCUCAGCACAACAGGGAUCCUAAGUGAUAUCCCAGCUAUGAAACAUCAGGCAAAUACCUCGGCUUCCAAAAACUUUCAUUCUCACAGCUGAGAGUGAGGAUGACUAUACUUGCUUCUCAUGGUCGUUACGGGAUGGUGGACGGAAACCAACAUCCUGCCUGACACAAGGCAGACAUUCGGUGUAAAGACACAGCUCCCUCCUUUGCUCAUCUGUGAGCUCCUCCCAGACGAGAGACCUCGUUUUAUUCAUCUUUGAAUCACCAGCAGCUAGCACUGUACAUGAUCCACUCUAUGUGCUCAAUAAAUUGUUAUUUCAUGGACUGUUGAUCUGUUGUUUGGCCCCUGUGCCUUCCCUUUGGUUCUGGAAGAUAGGUAAGAAAAAGAAGGGAGCACGUGACAUCAAUUCUCUGACACCUACCAAUCCCAGCAGCUUGUAGGGGUGGUCUUCGUAUUGUAUCUUGUAUUUUUGCUAUGUCACAAAUACAAUGAUUUUGUCACACAUGAUCUGAUCUGUGUGCUUUCUCUGGAAAAGUCUUGCUGAGGAGGGAUGCCAUUUAAACACGUGAUCCUAUACUACGUUUGGAGAAUGUACUGUGGAACAGCUGUCUGGAUCCACUGGGCUCCCUGGCUUUAGGGACUCCUAAUGCUGCUUCAGACUUCAAAACUGUUGAGAGCACAAGACCACAGAGUGCCCACCCACAAGGAUAGACACACUAGUUCCGGCAUGUCUCCAGCGCUGUAGGGUUGAGCACCACACAAGACAUUCACCUUCCUUCCAAAGGGCUCUCUGCCCUCCAUAUCAUAGACAAGGGUCUUCACAAUCAGGCUCUAACUUGCCUUCCAGACUCAUUUCCUGUCUCCUUCCGUGCAACCUCUGCUCCAACAACACUGAGUCAACAGCUUUCCCCAAACACCCCAGGCUCUCUCACUCCUGCACAGCUUCACCCUCUGACUGAAUGUCAUCCUCCCUUGUCCUUUCUAUGGUGAAAUGAGAUUUGUCCUCCAGCUGCCACCUCUCCUCUAGAACCUUCCAUGACUUCCCCAGAACAGAGUAGGUUCCUUCCUCCUCUGUGCUCCUCUACUCUUUUGCACAGAUAUCCUACACAUCCAUUUCAGUGCAAUGGGUCUGUCUCCCCAGUAGAUGCUCAUAAUCUCUAGCAUUCAUUAAGCAUCUACCACAUGCCUGCUGCUCCAUGAACAUCUCAUUUAUUCCUCAUACCAGCUCAGCACUAGCUACCUGAACUGUAAAUGACAUGACUACAGGAGACCCUCUGAGUAUAUGUUUUAGGGUGUUGGGGCAGUUUUGCUUAUUUGUUGGGUUUUCUUUUUUUUUGCUUUGUUUUUGUUUUUGUUUCAUGUAUUUUGGAGACUUUGUUUUCUGAAUUUUUCCUUUCAGUCUUGUACCUCCAGAACCUAGCACUGGCACAUUGCAAGUGUUCAAUAAAACUUGUUGAAUGAAUAAAAGUUCAUUUUUUGUUUGGGGAAGUUGUUUUUUUGUUUUGUUUUGUUUUGUUUUGUUUUUUGUUUUUACUUAUGGAGACACUCAAAAGCAAAGACUGGAAUGAAUUGACCCAUGGCUCUCUGCCUGCAAUUAGCCUAUGUCUGGGGAGCAAGGGCCGUGCCCCAUUCAUCUUUGUUUCUCCAAUGGCAGGACUUUGUCUAAGUACAAAAUAAAAGCUUGAAGAAGGAAUAAAUGAUGGAAUAAAUAUGAUUACUGCAUAUCCUGGAGGAUUAUAACUUGGUGACAGGCAGUUGAAAAAAAAAGGUAGAGUAACAGCUGAAUUCUACUACAUGUCUGUAGAAACCAACUUUCUCAUUUAACCAAAAAAAAUGAUGUUAUUUGCCAUAAUGCUAGGAGAAAAGUCUAUUUUCCUAACUUU